GAUGAACGCUGACAGAAUGCUUAACACAUGCAAGUCUACUUGAACUUCGGUUUGGGUGGCGGACGGGUGAGUAACGCGUAAAGAACUUGCCUCACAGUUAGGGACAACAUUUGGAAACGAAUGCUAAUACCUGAUAUUAUGAUUUUAGGGCAUCCUAAAAUUAUGAAAGCUAUAUGCGCUGUGAGAGAGCUUUGCGUCCCAUUAGCUAGUUGGAGAGGUAACGGCUCACCAAGGCGAUGAUGGGUAGCCGGCCUGAGAGGGUGAACGGCCACAAGGGGACUGAGACACGGCCCUUACUCCUACGGGAGGCAGCAGUGGGGAAUAUUGGACAAUGGACCAAAAGUCUGAUCCAGCAAUUCUGUGUGCACGAUGACGUUUUUCGGAAUGUAAAGUGCUUUCGGUUGGGAAGAAAAAAAUGACGGUACCAACAGAAGAAGUGACGGCUAAAUACGUG
RNAcentral lists this ribosomal RNA (454 nucleotides) under uncultured bacterium. RNAcentral's name for it is "partial 16S ribosomal RNA". It matches the Rfam family "Bacterial small subunit ribosomal RNA", at positions 28 to 507 of the family's 1533-position model. The record is from RNAcentral.